RNAcentral lists this ribosomal RNA (300 nucleotides) under Triticum aestivum (bread wheat). Its description in RNAcentral is "partial small subunit ribosomal RNA". Lineage: Eukaryota; Viridiplantae; Streptophyta; Magnoliopsida; Poales; Poaceae. The record is from RNAcentral.
AUGGCAAUGCUUACGCUGAAUAUGAGUAGGGGUGGCAAGUUCAAAAGAACUGACAAGAAGGAUGUUGCUCGAAUUUUUCAAGCUGAUAUUAAAGUUAUUUAGAGAAUCUGGAGGACAGCAGAGCAACAAAAAGAGCUUGGUAAGGAGGUGGAUGUGUCCAACCAAAAGAAAAGAAGAUGUGGAAGGAAAGGAAAGGAUAAUGUUCUAUCUCAAAUCCCCACAGUUCCAUUGAAUAGAAGGUCGACUCUCAGGUCACUUGCUCGCGCAUUGGGUGUCAGUCAUACUACACUCUACCAGAAA